UACGUAGGGGGCAAGCGUUAUCCGGAUUUACUGGGUGUAAAGGGAGCGUAGACGGUGAAGCAAGUCUGAAGUGAAAGGCGGGGGCUCAACCCCCGGACUGCUUUGGAAACUGUUCAACUGGAGUGCUGGAGAGGUAAGCGGAAUUCCUAGUGUAGCGGUGAAAUGCGUAGAUAUUAGGAGGAACACCAGUGGCGAAGGCGGCUAACUGGACUGUAACUGACGCUGAGGCACGAAAGUGUGGGGAGCAAACAGG
RNAcentral lists this ribosomal RNA (253 nucleotides) under uncultured Eubacteriales bacterium. Its description in RNAcentral is "uncultured Clostridiales bacterium partial 16S ribosomal RNA". It matches the Rfam family "Bacterial small subunit ribosomal RNA", at positions 524 to 776 of the family's 1533-position model. Lineage: Bacteria; Bacillati; Bacillota; Clostridia; Eubacteriales. The record is from RNAcentral.